RNAcentral lists this long non-coding RNA (28813 nucleotides) under Lathyrus oleraceus (garden pea). RNAcentral describes it as "Pisum sativum (pea) long non-coding RNA (PSAT_LNC004100)". Lineage: Eukaryota; Viridiplantae; Streptophyta; Magnoliopsida; Fabales; Fabaceae. The record is from RNAcentral.
AAUGGAGACCUAUGGUAACUGCCUUGAAGUUGGCAAAGUACCUAAGCAGUAGAAGUCUUGAAGAACUUGUUAGUUCUUUAAGAAGUCAUGCGAUAGAACUCGAGGAAGAUGAACCUCAGAAGCAAGGUAAAUUUGUUUCUUUGAAGUCCAAGCCUGAGAAGACAAGGGCUUAUUAAGAUGAGGAAGAAUCAGAAGAUUCUGAUGAGGAACAGACCAAUGUUGCAUUGAUGGUAACUACAACUGAUCCCGAAGGUUCUGAAGAACUAGAAGACAAAGUGUUGUCAGAGUCACAAUUAGACUCCAACUCUGAAGAGGUAUUUUCUAAACUAUCUCAUUCUGAUUUAGAGUCAUAUCUUUCUGAAAUGCUGGAAAAGUACCAAAUUCUUUAGAGUAGGUACAAAAACCUUAAACAAGUCCAAGUAGUUGCUUCUGAAAUCCGUAGUGAGCUUAAGAGUGAUACUUCUUCCCUAAACGAAAAAAUAUUUUUUUAGAAAGUAACAACUCUGCUUUGAAAAGAAAAUUUUCAAAACUAGAGGAAUAAAUAAUCUCAUAAGCUUAUGGUACUGAUUGCAUCAUCAGAUAUGACAUAUCAUUAUAGUGCUUUCUGGCUAAAAGCAUAAAUAUAAGCAAAAUAGAUUCCAAGAUCUAUGGAAUUAGAAUAAAUGGUAAGAAGUGUCUAGGUUGUACAAAAACUGGAAAACCUGACGAAAGUUAGAAGGUAAAACUGAAACCUAUCUAUGAGUAUUUCGUGCCUGCUGGCACUGAGCUUGACUGUUCUUCACAGACACAGAAACCUGCACAGACACGGAAGAAGAACUCAGUUCUGAAACUCAAGUAUCAUGCACAAAUUCCCUUUGAGUAUCCUACUGCAUAAAAACCCAAGGUUGUAAAAAAAUAUGGGAGAACUAACAAAAAAGGACCCAGAAAGUGGGUACCUAAGGAUAAGAUCAUUUAUGUUGUAGACAUUCUUAGUAGCUCAGUUGAGACACCACUCAUGGUAUUUGGACAGUUGAUACUCGCGACACAUGACAGGAAGAAGGCAUAUGUUCCAAGAUUUGGAACUUAAGCCUGGAGGCUUUGUUGGUUUCAGAGGAAACCAAACAGGGAAGAUCAUUGGCUCUGGAACUUUUGGUAAUGGUAAUCUCCCUUCUAUUACUAACGUUCUUUUGGUUGAUGGUUUGAUGCAUAAACUAUUGUCUAUCAGUCAGCUUAGUGACAAUGGUUAUGAUAUCACUUUUAAUCAAAAGUCAUGUAAGGCUAUUAGUCAGAAAGAUGACACGAUCAUUUUUAACGGAAAGAAGAAGAACAACAUUUAUAAAAUCAGACUUUCUGAUCUUGAGGAUUAAAACAUAAAAUGCUUAAUGUCUGUUAAUGAGGAGCAAUAUGUAUGACAUAGACGUUAGGACCAUAUUAGCAUGAGAAGGAUUUCUUAACUAAAUAAGCUUAGAUUAGUCAGACGAUUACCCAACCUGAAGUUUGCUUCAGAUGCUCUUUGUGAAGCAUGUCAGAAAGACAAGUUUUCUAAAACUUCUUUCAAAGCAAAAAUUGUUGUUUCUACCUCUAGACCGUUAGAGCUUCUGCACAUUGAUUUGUUUGGGCCAGUGAAAACUGUCUCUAUCAGUGGUAAGAAGUGUGGAUUGGUCCUCGUUGAUGACUAUAGUCGUUGGACAUGGGUAAAGUUCUUGAAACACAAGGAUGAGUCACAUUCAGUAUUCUCUACCUUCUGCUUACAAGUGCAAACAAAGAUGGAUUGCAAAAUAGUCAGAGUCGAAAGUGAUCAUGGUGACGAAUUUGGAAAUAAGAACUUUAAAAAUAUUUUUGAUACAAAUGGCAUUUCCCAUGAUUUACCAUGUCCUAGAAAUCCCCAGCAAAAUGGGGUUGUAGAAAGGAAGAAUAAGACUUUGCAAGAAAAGGCUCGCACCAUGAUCCAAGAAAUUGAUAUGGCUAAGCAUUUCUGGGCAGAGGUAGUUAACACAACAUGUUAUAUUCAGAACAUGAUUUCUAUUAUGGCUAAGCAUUUCUGGGCAGAGGUAGUUAACACAACAUGUUAUAUUCAUGCACAAAUUAUGGAAUAACAGAAAGCCCAACAUUUCUUAUUUCCAUCAUUUUGGAUGUGAUUGCUUUAUGUUGAACACUAAAGAGAAUCCUGGCACGUUUGAUUCUAAGACACAUAAGUGUUUAUUGUUAGGAUAUUCUGAACGCUUAAAAAGAUUGCAUAGUCUUUAACAUUGAGACACGAAUUGUCGAGGAAUCAAUUCAUGUUAGAUUCAAUGAUAAGCUUGACCCUGAAAAGUCAAAGUUAGUUGAGAAAUUUGCAGAUAUGAAGAUCAAUUUUUCAGAAUCCAAGGAUAAAGAUUCUAGAGAUAAAGACUCAGAAGGAAAAGCUAAGGACGUUGAAGCAAAAGACUCAUAAGUGCAUAAUUGAAGCAUACUGAACUACUAGAUUUUUUGGUUUAUGCAAAAAAAUUGGGUCUGGUAUCCUAGAUUUUUACAAAAAAAUGGUAUAUAAAAUUUUUUACCGGACUUUUGGAAAGCUCCGACAAAUAAUAACGGUAAAACUUUUACGAAUUCCGGAUUUUUCCUAAAAAAACCCAGUAAAACUUCAAAACGUAUACAGACUUUUACUAAAAAUUCAGAAAUAAUUCAAAAAUGUUUUCGGAUUUUUCCUAAAAAACGACAAAACUUCAACAGAUUCCAAAUAUUUGAAAAAAAAUCCGAUAAAAAUUCAAGAGAUUUCUGGAUUUUUUCCAAAAAUCUGAUUAAACUUCAUACUGAAUUUUUAAAUAUCCGAUAAAAAAACAUAAAAACAUUAUCUGAAAAAACUUUUCGCACUGGAUUUUUAGUCUCUUCCAAUUUUUACAUAAAGAAUUUUUUGCGGAAUAUAAAAAUUUGGAAGAUAAAUAAUAUGAAGGAUAAAAUUGUGAUUAUUAUAAAAUGUGGAGAUGUCGUGUCAAAAUGGGGUGCUAGGAAGAAACCUCUUAUUUUGAGUGUUUAUAUAACAUAAACAAACACAUUUAAAUGUUAUCUUGUGUGUUGGGCUCAUGUUGAAAGUUGGGGGCUUUGUAUUUUCAUUUCAAUAUUUUAAUUAAUUAACUAUUAAAAGAUCUUAAUUAAAUUAUUAAUUAUUAAUUUAUUUUUAAAAAAUAUUAAUUAAUUAAUUAUCAUAAUUAUUAAUUCCUAAUCAAUUUCAUGUUAUUAAAAAUAAAUUUUAUAUCUUAAUUAUUAAUGUCACCGGAUUUUAAAAUAAAUGGACUAAAAGUUAAAAAUAAUGAAACAAGGAGGACCAAAAUGCAUUUAAACAAAAAUGAUAAAUUUAAAAAAAUAGUUUUGAAGUCCGUAAAACAAGUGAGUUGAACAUAACGGAUUGAACUGAGUUGUUCAUAAAUUUAAAACGAGUCGAAUUUGAGUUUACAACAAGAUCGUGUCAAAUCUAGUCAAAUUUUGAGUUGAAUAAACUAUUAUCGAGUCGAGUCGAGUCGAGAUGAAGAGAGUACGACUCGAUGUUCAAAAUUACAACUCCUUCCACCAAUCGAUCUAAAAGGUCCUAAACUGAUUUGUCGUCCCACCACCAAUUAAAAAAAAAGAUUUUUCCACGCAUUUUUUAACACUCUACGAAAACAAGAAAAUUUCUCUUCUUCAGAAAAAACAUUCAAACACAUAUUUUUUCAAAGUAAUUUUCUAGGACAUGUGUUUAUUGCACAAGAGUCAACUUUCACCUCUUACAUUCAUAUUAUUCAUAUAAAAAAACACUCAAAAACUCAAAAACCACAUAAACUUGAUUUUACAUCCAAAUCAAAUCAGGAAUGGAAAAUGAACUCGUACAAUGAUGAACUCAUAAAAUAUGGGAAUAAGAAAUACAAUAUCUUGAAUCAAGAAUUUCUCUUCUAGCCUUAACUCUUGAAUAACAACACUUCACUUACCAUUUUUUCCAAAUUCAAACAAGAUGAACCACCAAAAUCAGUUGCUUCUUCUGCCAUUUUCUUCCACUCAAUUGCUUUUCUUUUCAUCUCCUUACCCUUUUCACCCUCUAACAACUCUACCACAACCUUCUCAACUUCAUCUCUUGUCACAUUCUCACUAUCCAUCACCAUUCCAAAUUUCCAUUCACUACAAAUAUACUUGCAAUUGGUAAAUUGAUCAUUGAAAUAUGGACAACAAAUCAAAGGCACACCAUUGCAUAUACUUUCAAUUGUUGAAUUCCAUCCACAAUGACUCAAAAAUCCUCCCACUGCUUUGUGCUUUAGAACCUUCUCUUGUGGACACCAACCUACCAUAAGUCCUCUAUCUUUUGUUUCUUCCAUAAUUUCUUGUGGCACAAGUAAUCUUUCACUUCCACCUUUAACUAUAUCAGGCCUAAUCACCCACAAGAAUUUCUUCUUGCUAUUUGAAAUUCCCCAAGCCAAUUCAACAAGUUGAUUAUACUUCAUAACUAUAACACUACCAAAAUUCACAUACAUAACGGAAUUUGGUUCUUGCGCGUCAAGCCAUUUGAGACACUCACUUUCUUCUUUCCACAAAUUACAUUUAAUAGAUUCAAACUCAUUGUUCUCUGAAAUUUUAUCAAGGAAUAACUCAAGAGGGCCUAUUGUGUAGAGUUUAGGAAACAUUGUAGAGAGUUCAUUCAGAACAUUAGAUUCUAAUGCAUCAAAAGUUGGUAGAAUAAUAGCAGAAGCUUUUGAAGCUGUUUCAAUUUGUUCAGCCACAAAGUUCAAAAGUGAAUCAUUUGGUUGUGUUGUACGAUAUAUACCAGGAAGGUCUCUUAAUGUAAUAUUCUUCAUGCCAGGGAUCCAGUCUAUGAUGGUGUCUAAAUGCCCAUUUGUCAGAUAACUUGCAUCUGAAAGUUUUCAUCAUAAAUUAAAAAAAAAAAAAAGACAUUACUAUUCAUAUGUGUUGAGAACUCAAAUUUAAAUUAUGACUAAACUCUAAAAAAAAUAAAAGUUGAAGAGGGUUAAGAUAAAAUAAAUAGAGUAAACAUUGUAAAGUUUUGUUGUAUCUACCUUGAAGUGGUGUUAUGCCUUUUUCCAUGAGAUUCCUGCAUUCUUUGAAUCCCAUGAAACCACAAGCACUAUGAGCCCAAAAGAGAACAUUAGGCAACCCAAAUUGUUGAGAAGCUUGAAUACUAAAAGACAUGAUACCAUCAGAGAUUAAGCAAGUAACUGGAGGAUCAUUGAGUUUUGAUAUAAGUUCACACAAUGCUACCAAACAGUGUUUACUUGUAGACUCACAAAGAUCCGGAAUGCUUUGAGUUGAAUCCAUGUUGUUUGUGGGAGGGAGACCAUCUGGUAUGGUCUCAAAUUUGAAAUCUGACAAACCAUUGAGAAGAUCAUCAGAGGCUUUUGAUUUGAGCAAACGUUUGUGGUUGAAUUCAGUGUUGAGGAAUGUUAUGUAGAAGCCUUUGCUGUGAAGGAUCUUUGCUAGUUUGAGAAAUGGAUUUAUGUGACCUUGUAUUGGAAAUGGAAUAAGAAGAGCAUGUGGCUUCAUGGUUUCACCUAGUAAACUCAUCUUGUUGCAUGAAUAAAAAGAUGAACAACCAACCGACAUUCAAAGAACAACAUGCAUGACAUGACAGGAAACAAAGACAUGAUAUAAAGUGGAAUACAUGUUCAUUGAAUCAUCAUCACGUGGUCAAUAGGAACAAGCCAAACCGAAAAUCAGCUAGGGAACAAAACAAUAUGGUGGAGGACCCCAAAUUAGGUACUUUAUUAGAUUCAAUAGAGAUAUUUGUCUGCAAGCGGGAUGAUCAUGGGCAUCAAAAGUUACAAGAAUUAAAAAAUCAAUUUCCAUUUGUUCAUAAUAAUUAGAUAAUAUAUAUUUAACAUGUAAACAUUAAAAACAAAAGAAGAACUAAUUUAGUGGUUAAAAAUCUUGUUAACUAAGCUUAAGUAUUAAGUUUGAAUCCUAUUGAUAGUAAGAAUUAAAAAAAAUUCAAUAUAUUUUACUCAAUGUGACCGACUUUUAAUUUAUAAUAAAUAAAUUAAUUAAAAAAUAUAUAUUUUAAAAAUUUCACAUAGAUUUUAAAAAAUAAAUAAAAAUAAAAAUAAAAAAUCCGUUGACUAAGAUUUAAAAAAGAUUAUGGGUUGAAAUAGUCAAUCAGAAGCUAAACACACAUAAUAUAGACAUUAGGGAUGUUGAGAAUGCAUCAAGUGUGAAUAAUAGUCUCACAUUUGUUGGAAUAGGGAGACUUGAACAUCUAUAAGUGAAAGAACUCACUCAUCUAUCACCUUAAGAUUUUAGGUGAAUAUGUGAUAUGUCUCUCAUAAAAGUAUUGCUCCAAAAAUGAAAAAGUCCCACAAUGUUCAAUGCUAUGCAAAAACUGAAACUCGCUAAUACUACAUAAGGGUGAUGUACAUUUAACCUUAUUUUUAAUUGAUAAUUGUUUUUACUAUACUUAUGUAUAUCUUAGGAAAAAUAAAAUGACUUCAUGACAUGUAGUGAAAGAUGUAGAUUUCGUAGUGAAAGAUGUGAAUAUUAUAAACUACCCUAGAAUUAUAUAUGAUAUUCCUCAUAAAUUAAUGAUAAAUAUGUUAUAGAUAUUAGGACUAUAACUGAAUUGAUUGUUGCUAUUAUGUUAAAUUUGAGUGUUGUUUUUCAUUGGUAGGGGGAAAUAUAAUUGAUUAUCACCUAUGUGUUUAAUAGAGUUUCCAAAUCAGACAAAUCUCUCUCCUAUAAAAUCCUAAAGAAAAGACAACAUAACUUGUCUUGUCUUUAAACUUGGGGUUAUCUAGCUUAUGACAUGAUCCUUGGUCCAAAAUGAGUUAAACUUGUCUUAUUUUCAACGAACGUUGCAUCUCUGUUGCGUUGUAGGGUUUUAUGUAUGUGUCAGAGUCAUGAUACAUCAUCAUAUAUUGUCGAUGGUUCUUCAUGAAGAUUAUGGUAUUUCAUCUUUAGUUGGAUUUCAUUGGGAAUUCCUUUUACCUUAUCGUUGUCUCUGAACUCGGGAACGAAUCUUUCUAGUUUCUCUUCACUAGGUAUUUCUCAUUUCUUCUCUAUUGUCAUCGACUCGAAAAAAUUCUAUUUCAUUGUCCCCUUCGACAAUGUAUUUGGGUGAGAAAGCCUCUAGUAAUAGAUUCGAUGAGAUUAUACCCCCAGUAAUAGAAGCAAUGAAUUGUCAUUUUACUCUUUGAACUUCUUUUUCAUUGUUGUUGCUACCCUUGUUCUUUUUGUGCUCCUAACGAUUUUGAUUAUCUUUUUAUGACAAUUUACAUUGACUGGGGGAUUAUUUCUUGCAUGGUGACUCACCUGUUAUUGGAGUCUCUUGGAGAACCAAUUCUCCUUUUACUGUCAUAUUUCAUUCCACCAUGUUCUGCAUGCCAAUCUAAUCUUUCUUUCUUAUUCAACUCUUUGAUGGUGUCUUUCAUAUGGAUGCAUUCAUUUGUGUUGUGUCUAUGGCUUUUGUGGAAGCGACAAAACCUUGACAUUUCUGUCCUAGCAAAGUCUUUGAUGUGAUGGGGGUAUCUUACCCUAACCUCUUUGAAUUCAUUAUUAAUACACUCUUGUAGAAUAUUUUCUCUUGAGGUGUUGAGACGGGUGUAAGAUGAGAAUUUUCUAGAAUUGAAAAUUUGCUAGAUUUCCCAAGCCUUUGUUUCUCUUUACAUCUUCAAACAAUAACUUUUAUUCAUAGUUAAUAUAUGGUUGGCCUAUAGUAAGAGGCCACUUAUGAACUUGAAGCCUUUUAACCCUAACUUCUCACGAAACAUGUGUUUGUCCUCAAUCUUUUCUCAAACUGAAGCAAACUUUUAAAAUUGGGUUGGGCUUGAACCGUACGUUGACUUUAUAUCGAGCUAACCAAGAACCUAUGAGAUUUUAAUAUCGGGUUGAUCUCAGACCUAAAUGGAGACUUGAUAAUAUAAUCCGCAAACUAAAGCUUUUAAUGAGUUUAGCUUCGAACCCAAAUAAAUAAUUCAUAAAUGGAUGAAUUGUUCAACCAAGGUAAAAAUUGUUAUUAUAAGUGACUGACACAUUUUUAUAGACUACUUAUAAUACAAUAUGUCAUGAUAUUGUGUUGAGACAUAUGGUCUAUAUGUGCUCAAAACAGGAGGCAAAUAUGUGGAACAAGAUGUGUUAAACGAGGGAAACGAUCUAGAAGGGGGGUUGAAUAGAUCGCCAAAUAAAAUUUUCUUAUUAAAGAUUCUAUUUUGAAAAAUAUUUUUCUAUGGCAAGCUGAAGCGAAUCCGGAUCGACUCUCGUCUAUCUAAACUAUUAUUGAUAGAAUCGGAUAUGCAUAUAAACCGUAGUAUAAAAUAUGCUAAAUAUGAUACAAGCAAACCAACAAGUUCAAUAUAAUUUGUUUGAAUAUAAAUCACACUAAGAUAAACGAUUUCCAAUUAGAUGUAAAAAUAAACCUUGAAUACAUAAUUUUAACGAACACUUAGUGUGCAGUCAAAAUAUCAAAGACUUGGUGUGCAAUACACCAAACUUAAUUCUCUUUGUGUUGAAGGUGUAACAAAUUAAUUACAAUUGUUUCACAAAAACAAUUUUAAAUACUUCAACACAACUAGAACUUUCAACUAUUCAAAUUACACACUAAGAGUUAUCAAAGUAUAAAACGAUAUAUAUAUAUAAAUAUAUAUAUAUAUAUAUAGAUAGAGAGAGAGAGAUUUGUUUAGCCAGUUCCUCAAUUGUCUUCGUUAUGGGUACGUCUAUCCUUAAUACGAAAUCAUAUCGAGAUAUCGUAGUUAACCUUUGUAAUAUCAAUUUACAAGAGAAGUAGUAGAAAUUCAAACUCUCAAACCCUAUGUUUGAUGUUGAUUCUAACUUAUUCUCUUCCCUUGAUCUUAGGAAGAUCAAAUCACACAAGACCUCCAAUUUCAUCCUCCGGUUAUCACUACUUCUUUGACCGAACCUCCGUUCUCCAAAGCUUUCACUCGGUUGAAUCCAAAUUGUGAAAUCUUGCCCCAAAUCUUUCAAUAGAUCGUUACAGCUACUCCUUUGCAAGAACCCUCGUUCCUCAAAACUUUCACUCGGCUGAAUCUAAAUUGUCACAUGGUCUGCAUACUAAGUAAGCACCGACUAGUCAACGGAUCCUCCAUGGAAUCUUCCGUCAAUGUGCACAAAGGGCUCAGUCGAAUGGGCUCUAACCUUUGUGUCAACAGUAACAUAUGGGACCGGAUCAACAACAACAGCAUCUGGGUGGACCCGCACAACAACCACCUCAUCAAUAACCACUCUAUCAACCUCUCCAGUUCCAGCAACCUCUUCAGCAGCCUCCCUACCAACAUCCCCAGCUCCAGCAACCUUUCCAGCAACCUCCCCACCAACAUCUCCAACUCCAACAAUCUCCUCAACAACCUCUCUAACAACAUCUCCAACAACAACCUCAGCUCCCACCUCCUCAGCCACCUUAUCUCUGGACUGCUCAACUGAUCAUACCUGGCGGCAUCGAGUGCUACGAGGUGCGCGGAACUCACCCUGCUCAACCAACAGUUUCCGGUGUGAAUUGGUUAGAACCACUCGUUUAGCCCAUAUCCGUGAAGACUCAAUCUCAGCAACCCUAUCGGAAAUUCAAAAUUUUAUAUUUAUCGGAAAUUUCAAAAUUUCCGGUAAAAAAUCAAGUGUUUAUAAGUAUCGGAAAUUCUGAAAUUUUCGAAAAAUUAAAUGAGAUUUUGUACCGGAAAAUUUAAAAUUUCCGAUAAGAUUGAAAGAAUUAGUAUCGGAGAUUCCGAUGCAAAAUCUAAGAAUUUUUUACUUUUACUAUAAAAAAUCAUUUUAUUUUUAAAAAAUUUCAAUAGUGUUUAGAAAUUUUCGGUAUCGUUUCAGAACUUUAAAAAAUUCGCUUGAAUACCAAAAUGUUAUUUUUUUUCAUACACAUUAGGGGGUUUAAUUGGGGUGCUAUUGAUUGUUUUGGAGAAUAAUCAUCUUUUCCUUCUUUUAAUUCCUGUUGUGGUUCUCUUUUUAUUUUUAUUUUUUAACAUUGGAGCCUUUUCUGCAGCAUUUCUUAUGCUGCUAGAUUGAGUUUUUAAUAAAACUUUCUUCGCCUUUCAAAAAAAAGAUAGAACUUCUUCCAAGGCUUUCCUUUUGUUGCUGCUCAAUUUUCUUCGAGACUUAUUCUUGUUAGCCUGGAUAGAAUUUUGGUUGUCAAUAUUACUCUCAUCAUUGUUAAAUCCAAAAUACGUGUAAAAAGAAGGCCUUGGUGGCUGCUUCGUCGACCUAAGGGUCAAGUCAAACCUGCUCAUUUUUAUUGACUAUGCUUUUUCUUUUUCUUUUUUUGUCUCAACUUUCAUAACACUUCUCUCAUCCAUGCCAUUUUAAAUACAUUUACAUUGCUCAUCAAUUAUUGUUUUUUGAUUGGAAAAAUAGAAUAACUUCAUAUUCCUAUAAGUACUUGCAAUUCAAAUUUAGUACAAUUCUUUUGGCUACUCUGAAAUAUUUUAUUCUAUUCUAUUCUACUGCGAAUAAUAACACCAACACUCCUUCGCUGGAAAAAUAGUAAAAAAAACAACACCCUAUCAUUUAAAGUGAAUUUGAGAGAUUCAAAUUCAUUUCAUUUCAACUAAUUGUAACUGAAACAGUGAGAAACUGAGAGGAUGGGUCACGAACACUCCAAAUUGUCGUCGUCGUCGGAAUCGGAGGGAAAAGGAUCGCGUCUUGAUCGAUUCAAACACCGUCUUCACUUCCGCCGCAAAACCGUUUCUGAUACUAGCGCUCAUUCCUCCACUCAAAAACUCCUCUCCGCCAACAAUUUCACCGGAAUCGCUCUCUUCGCCCUCCUCCGCGUAAUUCCCCUCACUCUCGCCGUUAAUUUUCAGUCUAUUAGAAUCACUGAUUGAUCACUGUUUUGUUUGUAAUGCAGGCGGAGAUGCAGUUCAAGGACAAAUGGAUCGCGUGCCUUUCACUUGGAGAACAAACUUUUCGUACCAAGUGUUCUCAAAAGUUAGUUAACAACACUUCAAUUCAUCAUCAUCACUUUAUUAUUAUUCCAAUUAUGUACUGUAUGAAUGUUUCUUUCAUUUUAGUUGUUGCUCUCAUUCUCGUGAAUUGAUUUUGUUUUUUUUCAUUAUUAUUGCUGGUGAUGCAGUACAGAUAAACCGGUUUGGAAUUCUGUGAGUACUCUUAUCUAAACUAUUGACAGUUUUUUAUAAUGAAAAUUUAUAGAUAUAUGGUCCCAAAAAGUAAUGCCUUAUUAUGAGAAAUGAUUCGUGGAUACAAAUGAUGACUUCGUACGCUGGAUUUUCGUAUAGUUGGAGUACGGUUUUCAAUUUUUAUACAUUGGCUCUACAAAAGUGUGUCCAAAUAGCAUUGCUUUUUGAUUAUUUAGUGUUAGUUAGGUAGUUGCAUUGAUAGUUUGGUUUGCUUAUUCAAAAUGUUGGUGUACUUUUCAAAUGUCUCAUUUUCUUUUUACUUCCAUAAAUAAUUGUUAAUUCAUGUGCAAUGGAAUUGUAACAUUUAAAAUCCACAUGGCACCUAACAUGUGUAUGUGAACAUAGAUUGCAUGUUCUAAUGCUACUAGGGGUAAUUAGAUCUUCUUUAUUUUCUUGUCUCUGUCAUAUAGGAGCGAAUGAUCUGCUGAAUAAGAUAGUGUUUCUUUUGUGUGACUGAUAUUUUCUUCUGCAGGAAAAGAAACUUUUAUUGGAACAGAACGGGCCUCAUAUUGCAAGAGUUUCUAUCUUUGAGGUGUGCUAUAAGAAUUAACAGCAUUACCUUUUCAUUGAUUAUAUGCAUUACCCUGUAGUAAGCAUAUGUUUUUCUUUCGGGGUGGGGGUUGUAAUUGGGAGGGGAGUGAGGACAUCACUUUUGUUAGCCUAAGAUAGAGAAGAUCAAGGAAAACAAUGAAUAAAAUGGAUGAGAACCACUCUGAGUUAAAUGAUACAUCUUUAGAUAUGAAUCGGGACUGAGCUUUAUAGCAUUGUUUGAUAAAUAUAAUUAACCGACUAUACCAAAUGAAAAUAGCUUUAAUUCCAGUUUAUUGCUUUAUAGCAUUGUUUUACAUCUAAUUUGUUUUUUUUUUUCUCAUGUAGACCAACAAACUGUCCAGCAAUACUCUUGUUGGAUACUUGGAGAUUGAUCUGCUUGAGUUUCUGACCAAGGUAAGGAAACUUUUUUUUUCUUCCUUUUUUAGAAAUUACGGAUGUUAGACUUGUUAAUUUAUCAGCUUCUUCUGUGUCCUUUCAGCAUUAUCAUUUUACACACUUUCAUUAUGAAUGAUAUGAUGGUGCAGGAUUCUGAUUCUGACAUUGAAAUAUUCAACGUUUUAGAUCCAUCGGUCCCUGGAAAAGUGGUUGGUAAUAUCUCCAUUUCAUGCUCUGUUGAGGUAUGUGGUAUACUAAUACAAUACAAUUUUUGUUGUUGUUAAGGUAAGAUAAAAUUUUCUAACAAUUAUAAGUGAAAAUUAACAGGAUCCAAUUGAAACAGAAAAAGGCUUUGUUAGACGCAUUUUAUCCAUCGUGGUAAGUUUCAUCUUCCUCUACUUUCUGAUAACUCGUGUUUGUUGUGAGCUUAAACCUAAGAUUUAUGAGGGUAGCACAAGAAGUGGUGAUAUAUCGUCUCAUCCCUCUGUAUUAGGAUAUUGGUGUUAAACCAAAAUUGCACCAUGGAUUGUUGCUUAGACUGUUUUGAUAUUGACACAUAUUUGCGAUAUGUUAUGGAAAUUGCUACCAUCGGUAAAUAUUAAUAGAUAACAAUGUCAAUUUAUUCAUGAUGUUCCCUUUCUCUAUUGGAGGGUCUUCGAGCUUGAAAAGAAGUCUAUAUAAGUUGAAUGCAUAGAAGACCAUUUGAAAUCCUUGAUCUUAUUCAGCACCAUUUAAUAUCAACUAGAUAAUUUAUGCUUUAUGCAGGACUACAAUGAAGAUGGGAUGCUUUCGUUUUCUGAAUUUUCUGACCUGAUUGAUGCUUUUGGCAAUCAAUUAGCAACCAGCAAGGUUCAAACUAUUUUACACAUUAUACAAUACUGUUACUUUUUUGUUUUUGGAUUGUUUUCUUGCUAAAUUAUCAUCAGUGUUCUUCUGUACCUGGAUAUGGAUUUGGACUUUGAUAUUUAAAAAUUUAUCUAUUAAUUUCAGUUAUUAUGGCCUAUAUAAACUAAUAAAAUCUGAAUGCAAGAAUUUAGAACCUCAAAUUUGAACAAUGGAAACUAGCUAUUUUGGUCAUAUUAUCAAAGUCCAAAUCUUCACUACAAAAGGUCCGGGGCUUAAAGUUCAAAUAAUGAAUCUUUGCCUUAUAAAUCAUAAAAUGAUUUUACAAUAUAAUAUCUAGUUUUGUAUAUACAAAUUAUACUGCUUCAGCAAUACAAUUCUUUUUCAAUAGAAAGAGGAGCUGUUCAAAGCAGCUGACAAGAAUGGAGAUGAUGCUGUGAGCAUGGAUGAACUGGCUUCUCUUCUUGCUUUUCAACAAGAAAAGUAAAUGAUCCAUCUAAAAUACAAGAGACUAAAAGCUUUGGUUUUGUAUGCAUGUUGUUGCCUUUUGCUAGCAGUAGAGAUAUUACUGCUUAUUAUAAAUUUUCCAAGUCAUGUUUGUUUACAUUUUUUAUUCUUAUAUGGUUAUGUAACUUCUGGUGUAGCAGGGAGCCACUGUUGAAUUGCUGCCCUGUUUGUGGUGAGGUUCUUCAGAUUUCUGAUCCGUUGAACAGCAUGAUCCACUUAACUCUUUGUUUCGACGAAGGGACGGGAAACCAGGUGAUGGCUGGAGGAUUCUUGACAGAUAAGCAAGCUUCAUAUGGGUACAAUAUUUGCAAGUUGCUACUCAUUUAAGCCUUAAAAGACUGGAGAACAUGAUCUUUUUUUACCUAAUGGGUUAUACAACAGUAUUUUAGUGGCAUAUACUGCGGUUAUGUAUUUAUGGUUUUAAUAUCAUGAGAUAAUAAAGAUCAAAUGUUUACUUUUUGGUUUAUAUAGCUGGUUCUUCAAGUUGAGUGAAUGGGCCCAUUUCUCAUCCUAUGAUGUCGGUAUUCGAUCUGGAUCAAGUUCUUCCCAUAUUCUGGUAUACCAUAUUUCUUUCCAUACCAAUUUCCUCUUUCUUUAUUUUAUUUAAAAAUCUUAAGAUAUUCAUAUCAUGCAUCAUACGUGAAUGUAUGUUUCAAGUUAUAUCAGGAUGAUCAGAACCUCUCUGAAAUUCCUUCUAUCCAACACUGAUAACUGAGUUUACGAAUAUUCACCAUAAUUAAAAGAAGGCUACCAAGAACAUAAAUCAAUCAUGGCGCGCCACCCUUUUCAUGUGGAUUAUAAGUAUCAACAUUUCUUGUGCUUACCUUUUUUAAAGUUUCGAGAAUUCAAAUUGUAUUGGUUUAACAACUUCAUCAAAGUAAAGAACUAGAAAUAUCCUUAAAGAUAAUUUGAGGAAAUUAGAAAUGCCAGACUAAAUACUGAUAUUUUUAUUCCAUAUUUGUAUCUCUGCACCUUUCAACGUGUUAUUUAUUUACUUCAUCUUACUUUUGGUUCAGGUGUAUGAUCGGAAGUCUCAGAGGCUUGUCGAAGAAUUAAUUGACAAAAAGAUUGUUUUGUCAAUGAGGGCUAUUUAUCAGUCAAAAAUAGGUCUUGGUCUAAUGGACAUAGGUAUGUGGAUUUUUUAUUUCUUUCUCCUAAUAGUUGAAAGAAAUUGUAGGCUAAAUGCAUAUGUAACUUCACAAGUCACUGCUCUUUGUCAUGGCCCUUGUGCUACAGUCCUGCUGAUGUGUUGUUACAAAAAAAAAAUCUGGUUGAAACAUGCUGUGCAGAUAUUAGAUCUUGCUGACAUUUCUUACCCGAUUUUGUGUUUUUUAGUAGAUUACUAACUAUAACGAAAUAUAUCAGUUUUAAAAAAUGAUUUAUCAUAUUUCAUCCUUCUGUUACAUGGGAUUUGACGUCAAUAUGAGAUUCAGAUUGAAUUUGAAUAAACUUUUCCAUCGGUGUUGAGUUAGUCAUUUGCCUUACUUUGGCGAACCUUUGGUAUGCAGGGGUGAAGGAGCUGCUGCAAAGCAUUUCUGAAAAGCAGGGAGCAAAAAUGGAUUCACUUGAAUCGGCUGCUGAUAUACCGAAAUUUAUUGAAUCUUAUAAGGUAUGAUGAUGUUUAUUUUAGUUCUUUGUGGGUAGCAUAAUUUGAUUUUGACAAGUUGCAGAACAAUGCAAUUCUUGGGUAUGUUAUAUGUGGUGCCCCUUGUUUCUGUGCUGUCGUUUCUUUUGGAGUUUUGCUUGUCAUGUGCAUUUUAGCCAUCUCAUCUAAUAAUAUAUCCUUCUUCCUUUUUAAAUACAAAAUACACAGUCUAUGUGUACUUAAUGGACAUCCUUAGCAACUGCUUUGUUUCACUUUCACAAAUGGGCUAUCUUUUCUUUUACAAUUGCUUUAUGUAUUUUAAAAUUAAAGGAUAUUGCUUUCAUUCAACAUUCAGCAUUCUCAAGUUAAGAACAGCAAGUAUUACUGUCCCUCAACCACAAGACAAUGUCCAUGCCGACAUCUAUUACUAGCAAACUGGAAGAGUCACUCUUACCAUAACCAUUAUAUGAAGUGUUAGAGGACAAGCAUCUAAUGGCAUUGUACAGCACAAUUCAGAGUAGUCAAUAGCGGCGCUAUCCCGCUAUAACAGAGCGCAGUGGAGGCCGGCCGCUAUGGGAAGAGCCAUAGUGGGGCAGAACACUAUAGCGGCCACUAUAGAGUAAAUAGCGGGAUAGCGGAGCAGAGCAGUUCCUAGCCCGCUAUCCUUUCCCCCCCUAAAAAACUGAAAUUACUCCUUAAAUUUACAACGUUUUAAGGAUAAGUUUGGGUUUUUCAAUCAAAUUUGAGUUGAGACUCAACCUUAACCUUCCUUGUUUAUGCACUUCAAGAGUCAUGUGUGCUUUGAUUUAUGAACAUUUUAUGAGUUGAGUUAUUUGCUUAAUUUUACAUUAAAUAUAUAUUUAUAAUUAUUAUACGUAAUUUGUCCAAAAAAUGAUCAAAUAGAUCGGUCAUCCCAUUAAACGCCACAAUUGACAAUACGAUAUGAAAUGAAAAUCAUAUACAUUGCAAUAUAUAUGUGUGCGUACAACAACUAUUAAAAAAUUGCACUAUAUUGUGGUGUGAGUGUGUGUGCUGGCGCCCGUGUCUGUUGAAACAGUUUUAACGCAUAAUAGGAUGCUAUUUUUUUUCUUCCAUUCUUCACCUAGCUCUUUAUGUGCUGGACUUGGCAGCCUAUAAUCACAUCCAUCUUAUAAAGUGAAUAUUGUCUUGUAGGGUCAAAUCAAUUUGGCUGAAGUCAAGUAUCCACUGGAACACUUUAAGGUGGGCUAAAACUGCAGUUUGAAUUUUUAUGUUAUUGAUGCACAAUUGCUUCUGAACACACUUUUUUAUCCUAUUAGUUAUUUAAGAUGGUUUGCUGGUUCGAUUUGAUCAUGCUUAAAAAUUAAAAUAAUGUUGUAUCAUAUGCAUAUGGUCUUAUGAAUUAAUUUAGUAAUGGUCUCAUGAUUUAACUUAGUAAAUAUUAUUUCAUGUGAAAUAUUUUCAGAAAAACAUCAACUCCGCUCCUGUGUUUCUUAGCUAGGCGAUGCUUAUGUAACAACAUAUUUCAUUUAGUCGCUGUCUAUGCUUGAAAAAUAAUCUGUUAUCUUCAUUCUUCAUUCUAGUUAAAUAAAAACGUUCUUCUUACUAACAACUUUCAUUCCGGCUACAGUAUGUUUUUAUUUACUAUUAUAUUCUACUUCAGUUGUUUUUUUUAUUUCGCCUUUUAGCCAUUUUCAAUGUGUUUUUGUGGGACCCUCAAAUUCUCCUGCUUUACUCACUGAUCUCUACGAAGAACUAAGAAUUUGUUUUUUAUUGAGCUUGCUACAUAUAUUUUGUUUGAACAAGAAGUUGGAAUGAAAAUGAACAAAAUCUAACCAAUGAUCAUACUGAAACUCAUCUAUACUUCAUUAUGGUAGUAUUAUCUUGUUUAUGACACCUAUCUUGAAUAACUCUCCGGGCAGACAUUCAAUGAAUUUUUCAUUAGAGAGUUAAAGCCUGGUUCAAGACCAAUUGCUUCUGCUGAACAUGACAACACUGCUGUAUGUGCGGCCGAUUGUCGUCUAAUGGCAUUUAAAUCAGUUGAUGAUAGUACAAGAUUUUGGAUUAAGGUAUUUCUUUUACAUCUCUUGCAUGUGGAAGGUUUCUUGUCUCACGAAUUCAUUUUCCUUUUUAAUAUUUAGAUAAAUGUGUGUCAUUUGAGAAUAUGCACUAAAGAGUAAGACAUAUUUAUCAGUCAGAACUAAAAGUUGGCAAUGAGUGUUUUUCUAUUCUGUUAGAAUUUAGCAAAAAAAUAAGUAAUAAAUGCGAUAAAAUUAUGAUUUUUUUCAUUCAAUUUGAACCUGCAUGACUUGCCUGUAAGUUAAGACAGAGGUGUGGAGUAGGGAUUGGUUUUUGCUUUUAUGGGAUUAUAAUCCGGUUCAUUUUUCCUUAAAUGAAACGAUUUAGUUGCUUGAACAACUUUUAAUGAUAAAAAUACCCAACUGUUUUAUGUGAUGUGAGUGUGACUAGUAUGAAGCACUAGUACUUCUGAAAUAGUGAGCUACUCUUACCGGGUACAUAUCCAGUAGUAGUAGUGAUGCUUCCUUUUUUUCUAAUUAUUUGGUUUCGAAUGAAAUUUAGGUUUUCUCAUAUAUUAAUAUUGUAUUAUUUAAGUAUUUUAGUUUCUUUGUUAUUGUAACUUGAUACAAUUUUUUACUUUUUAAAUUUUUAUUGUGAUGUUUUGUUGUGAAUUGAAAAAUUUAGUUCUCUCAUGUUACAAUACAUAAAAAAACUAUUGUUUUUUAUUGAUGUAUUCAUAUGUUUUUCAUAAAUGAUGCAUCUCGUACCGUACAAACUAUGUUAUCAUAUAUAUUGGGAUAUCUCCUUUCUCUUUAUUAUUAAAUCUUUUAUAUUCAUUUAUGUACUCAAAAUGAAAUUCUUUUGGAAUUGCUAUUUGUUGCUUUCAGGGUCGAAAGUUUUCAGUUCAAGGCCUUCUGGGGAAAGAAUUGUGUUCCAGUGCUUUUGUUGAUGGAACACUUGUGAUUUUCCGUCUGGCACCACAGGUGUUUGUUGCUUUCUUUCAUUGCCACUUUAAUUUUGUGUUCUUUUGAUUGCAAAUUUUGAUUUGAAUGUUUAUUUAUUGCAGGAUUAUCACCGUUUCCAUUCGCCAGUGUCAGGAAUUGUUGAGCAGUUUGUUAAUAUCCCUGGAUGCCUGUUUACCGUAUGUGAAUUAAUAACUGGGAAAAUGAUAUUUUAUUUACAGUGUCUAUUUUCUGUCAUUGUGUGUUAACUAUACUUGCAACUUUUUCUGAUUUGUUCUAUUUCUCUUAGGUCAAUCCCAUUGCUGUAAAUAGCAAGUACUGUAAUGUCUUCACAGAGAAUAAGCGAGUUGUUUCAAUAAUUGAAACAGUAGAUUUUGGAAAGGUUUGUGAUUGCAAUUAAUUUGCUUUUAAUGCGAGUUUAUAAUGCUAUCCUACUGAAAUUGUUUUUUACAGAACACCCUAUAAGUUACCUAUGAUUUGUGUUCAGGUGGCAUUUGUUGCAAUAGGAGCUACAAUGGUUGGUAGCAUUACUUUCACAAAGACACAUGGCGACUAUGUCAAGAAAGGAGACGAGGUUUGGAAUCCGGCCAAUUACAGUAAAUUACUGUUUUUCCAAUUUUCUUCAUUGUGUUCUGGUUUCUAAUUGGCAUAUGUCUGCUUUAAUUGACAGUUUGGACAUUUCUCUUUUGGUGGAAGCACUGUAAUUUGUGUUUUUGAAAAGGUUGGUAUUAUAAUCGUUUUACUGCCCAUCUUUUAUCUUUCGGUUAAUUAUUUCUUGUCGUUUCAUGUUUGAAAUCUAUUUAGUGACUCUUAUUUUCCCUCUUACUUUUGUUGCUGUGCUAUUCAGGAUUCAAUUGCAAUUGAUGAAGACCUUCUAUCAAAUAGCGCCAGAUCACUGGAGACUUUGGUUACUAUGGGGAUGAGAUUGGGUGUCUCCACGAGGAAUCUGUCUUAACAACUGAGGUCGUGUGGACUAACUUAGAAAAAUUGUUAAUAUUUUGUGAUGUGUAAUUCUGUAUUUUUAAUUUAUUUUGAAUCAUGACAGCGUCGGUUAUUGAUGGCGGAUAUGCCCCAUUAUCUUUAAACUUUUUUAAUCUCAUUCGAUGAUAUCAGAAUGAAUGGAAAAAUCUGGAAAAGUUGUGGUAAUUACACACUCUAAAAACAUAUAAAGUGAAAAUUGGAGACGAGGACAAUCCUCACAAAAAUAUUCCUUUUACAUUGUCUAACCCUCCACUAAAGCAGAUUAAGACUAGUAAGGAUGCAAAUUAAGUAGACAUGAAGAUUGUAAUAAAAAAUCUCACCUAGGAGACCUUUCUUUUCCAAAUCAAAAACAGGUUUCCAUCAACUGCUAAUAAAUGGAUUGGGUACAGAAGAAGAUGCUAGACUCUACAGUGUUUGGAUACGAGCCGUAUGGUUCGACCAUUCAAACAUCUAUCAUCCGCUUAAAAGUUUUUAACUUGAUUCAUCUUGAACCUAUUCAUAAUCAAAUCCUAAGUGAUUCAUUUUCAUAGUAAAUCGGACGAAAAAUGAAUGACUGAGUGUAUACCUCUUUCUUCCCUGAAUACUUGGAUACAAUCCAUAUAACUCGACCAUUCGAGUAUUUGUCUUCCAUUCAAAAAAUCCUAAUUAUAUCUAACCCUUUUCACAAUUAAUUGGUUGAAAAAGGAAACACUAUGGCGUAUACCACUCUUUUCGGAUACGAGUUGUAUAGCUUGACCAUCCGAGCGUUCGUCGUCCAUUCAAAGACAAAUUCCAAUCAAUCAAAUUAUUUUUUCUCACCACCGAGUGAUCGUAAACCCUUUUCAUAAACGAACAUUGUUUAUCCCAUUCUAACACGACACAAACAAACGCUUAAAGCCUCUAAUUGUGAGCAUACAAGCAACAUUUAACCAGUAGAACGAGACCUAAAUAUUUGUUCACUAAAAUCAACCAACAAAUAUGUGGUUUUCUAUAAAGAACUACAUAACUUUGAAUUCCUCACCGCACAUGAGGAUACAUAGGAGUAAGACCCAGAACUUUAUCAAGCACCCUGAUAAAAAUCUUUUUUGCGACAUUUUCCUUUUCUUGUUAAACUUUCAAUAAUUAGAAGAAAACAAAUAUCAUUAAGCCAAUGUUCUAUUCACAAAUCUAAAUAAAUGGUUCUCGUUGAGUACAACGGAUGUGAGGGGUGCUAAUACCUUAUCCUCGGAUACUCGACUCCCGAACUCGAAUUUGGUUGCGACCACCAUUUUCUUUUUCUUUUAAGGGUUUUAUCGAUAUUUUCAUUUUUCUUUUGGAAUAAAUAAAGUUCGAUGGCAACUAUGUUACCAUCUCGAGCGUGCGAGCGCUCCAUAUUAUUUUUCGAGCCACGACACUCUAUGUGCUAGCUUCAAGACAUAUAAUGCCUUGUUCAAUCUACACGUCAUGUGUUUCAUGACUUUCUUUUCAAAAUCAGGUGGUUGGGAUAUAUAAACUUCUUCUUCAAAUGUCCCUGAUAAGAGUUUUGAUUUAGCAUCCAAUUGAACAACGGACAAACUUUCUUGUUUGAUAUGACAAUUAACAAUCUUAUUGUUGUUAGAAGUAGUAAUUCGAUAUUAUGUCGAAAGCUAGCAUACGACUAUGUCAAAGUAGCUAGUCGAGGUGUAUGAGUCAGCUGUAUUCGACUGAGUUAAAUAUAACAUAUAGUUGUUAUGUCAAAAUGUAAGUUGUAGUUUUGUACUUUGCAUUGUGUAUGUUUUGGGCUUGGGUCAAUUUGUAUAGUUUUGGGUAUGGACUUUAGUUGUCUAUAUAGAGACAUUGUAUUAAUGUACAACCUAACAACUUCAUUCAAUAAUAUUAUCUCUUUUACAAUUUAGUUUUUAUCUCUUUUCUCUCAUCUUUGUUGGAAACCCUUUUGUUUCAAAAAAUUGGUAUAAAGGAGUUUGGGUUGAGAUUCUGAGAGAAUUUGUAAUGGCAAAUAGAACAACAACAUCAACGAAAUUUCCAGCGAAUCUACUAGUUUUAAAAGGGGGGAACUACGAAUGGUGGGUUGCGCAGAUGAAAGUCAUCUUCAGAUUUCAAGAUGUGGUUGAAAUUGUGAACGUUGGAGUACGUGCAUUGGAAGAGAAUGUAAACGAUGUUCAGAAAGUUUCAAAAGGAAGGAAGAAAGAAAGAUGGAAAAGUUAUGUUCUUGAUUCACCAGUGUGUGGAUCCUAAUGUGUUCGAGAAGACAACUAAAGAAGAAACGACCAAAGGAGUGUGGGACAAGUUGAAGAGCUUGUACGACGGAGAUGAAAAGCUAAAAAGGGUGAAGUUGCGGACGUUGAGAAAGAAAUUUGAGAUGUCUCGGAUGAAGGAAGAUGAACAAGUCUCUAAAUACUUUUCAUGUGUGGUACUGUUAACAAAUCAGAUGAAAUUGUGUGGUGAAUCAAUCAACGAUUUGCAAAAGAUUGAGAAAGUGUUGAAAUCGCUGACUGCAAAUUUUGAUUAUAUUGUAGUGUCAAUUGAAGAAUCAAAGAACCUAAUUGAGAUCAAGUUAGAAGAACUUCAAGCUUCAUUAGAGGCUCAUGAGAUGAGGCUGAAAUAGAGAAACUCGAAAAGGGAGAAGGUGGUUGAACAGUCACUACAAGCAAGAUUCAUAAAAAAAUAUGGGAAAGAGAAGGCGAAGUAUGGAAAGAAUUUUGCUAAUGAUGAGAAGUCAAGCAAGAAUUCAAAGAAUUUUUCCAAUUCGAUUAAAAAGACUGAGCAACAAGUAUUAAGGGAAGACAAUUGACAUGAAAGAGGUGCAAUGUUACAACUGUCAAGGAUUUGACCACUAUGCUCGAGACAGUCGAAGAAAGAAGGGAGCACAAACAAAAGAUAGCAAUGAAAUACAGUAUGCACAUGCUAAAGAUAGUGAUUUAGAGGAUGUGUUACUCAUGACCAACACUCAAUCGAACACUGAGUAAACUAACAUGUGGUACAUGGAUUCAGGAUGCAAUAACCAUAUGACUGGUAAUAAAAACUGGUUCACCAAGCUAGAUGAAUCAAUUGAGAAAGUGAUACAGUUUGCAGAUGGAAAGCACAACACAUAUGGUGGAAAAUGAGGUAUAUAUGUUGUCAUAAAGGAUGGUCGAAAAUUCAACGUCAUUGAUGUGUUAUAUCUACCUUUUAUGACAAGUAACUUGAUAAGUGUAUGUCAAUUAUUUGCCAAAGAAUAUAAUAUGAAGCUAGAAAAGAAUCAGUUGAAGGUGUAACAUAGUGAUAGAAGGGUGAUUCUGAAGGCAUCAUUGGCAAACAACAUGACCUUCAAAGUAGAGAUCAACACGGUUGAUCAUAAAUGUCUAUCUUCGACUGCAGAAGAAGACAAUAAAUGGCUAUGACAUCACAGGUAUGGACAUUUAAACUUUAGAAGUUUAGGUAUGCUCAACCAGAAAAAGAUGGUGUAUGGUCUACCUCUGAUGAAGGAACCAAGUCAACUAUGUGAGGAAUAUUGCAAAGAAAAAUAGGCUAUGAAAACAUUCAAACAUGACUUGCCUAUAUGGUCGAAGAAAAAACUAGAAUUAGUUCACUUUAAUGUGUGUGGACCUUUUGAAGUAAGGUCGAAUGGAGGUAACUAUUAUUUCCUAACCUUCAUAGAUGAAUUCACUAGAUAUAUGUGGAUUUACCUUAUUGAAAGGAAGAGUGGGGUAUUAAUACAGUUCAAGAAGUUCAAAUUGCAUGUCGAUAGGCAAAGUAGAUGCAAGUUGAAGAAACUGAGAAUUGAUGGUGGUGGUGAAUACACCUCUCCAAGAUUUGCUAGAUUUUGCAAAGAUGAAGGUAUAAAGCAUGAGGUCAUUAAAGCCUAUACACCUCAGGAUAAUGGCAUAGUUGAGAGGAAGAAUCAAAGUAUAUUAAACAUGACCAGGAGCAUGUUGAAAGCUACAGAUAUGCAAAAGAGAUUUUAGGGUGAAAAAGCUUCGACGAUAGUGUACAUUCAAAAUAGAUGUCCAACCAAGAAGAUGAUCGAGAUGACUUCUUAUGAGGCUUGGACAAGUGUGCAGUUGAAUGUUAGUCAUCUUAAAGUAUCUGGAUCAAUGUGCUCCAGGCAUGUACCUGAACAAUUGAGGAAGAAACUAGAUGAUUGAAGUCAGGCUAUGGUGCUCACAUGUUAUCAUUUGAAUGGUGCAUACAAGUUGUAUUCACCAAAUGAAGAUAAAAUUGUGAUCAACCGAGAUGUUUUAGUGGAUGAAAGCAAAGGGUGUAAUUAGAGUCAAAUGUCAAUUUGAAGGGAGCGCGAAAUAAUCAUAAUUGUGCUUGAUGAAGACCAGAAAACUAAAGUCCCGACCGAUCGAAAUGAAGAACCACCUGAGCAAAAUGUUAGAAGAAUAACUAGAGCAAGAACUGAGUCGACAGGGAUAUCUGGAUAUGAGAUAUUUCCAAAUCAAAUUGUGGAUGCAGAUGGUGACAAGAAGUGGUGAUGAUGGUUGAAGCAGAACCAAUCAAUUUGGAUCAGGCCAUGCAUGAUUUGAAUUGGUUAGCAACCAUGGAAUAAGAACUUAGGGAAAUCAAGAAGAACAAGACCUGGGAGCUUGUCGAAGAGUCAAGAAAGAAGCAAUUAAUGUGAAGUGGGUUUACAAGCUGGGACAAAGGUUGAACGGUGAAAUUGGCAAGCAUGAAGCAAGAUUAGUGGUGAGAGGUUUUCUACAAAAACCUGGUAUUGAUUUCGAUGAAGUCUAUGCACCUUUUGCAAGGUUGGAGACAAUUGUUGUGCCGACAACAACAUACAGAGGAUGGAAUAUAUAUCAGUUGGAUGUAAAAUCAACAUUUUUAAAUGGACCUCUGAAAGAAGAAGUCUAUGUCAGUCAACCACCAGGAUCCUAAAUCAAAGGGUAGGAGUCAAAGGUAUAUAGAUUUAGGAAAGCUCUUUAUAGAUUUAAGAGAAUAGAUAGCUUCCUGGUCGAAGCAGGUUUCACAAAGUGUGUAUGUGAACAUGGAGUGUAUAUCAAUGAUGCAGACAGGGUCAGUCAAAUCAUUGUAUGCCUGUAUGUAGAUGACUCAUUGAUUACAGGUGCAAAUGAAGCAAAGAUAAGAAAAGUCAAGUCGAAGUUGAUGUAAGAGUUUGAAGUGUCCGGACUAGGGAAUCUGUCAUAUUUCUUAGGGAGAAGUUCAAAGUCGCAGGUGAAUGAGUGUUCUUGCGCCAAAAGAAUUAUGCCCAAGAUAUCUUGAAGAGGUUCAAGAUGAGUAAUUGUUGUCAUACCCCAAAAUUUGUAUACCCUUUUUCACUUUUCAUCUGGGUUUUGGUCUAGGGUUCAUCUGCAUACUCCUAGUCAUCUAGGUCACUCAUAAUUGUAUUUUUUUAUAAUAAAUACCAUUGAUUCAAAGGUCCUUGUUAUUUAUGUCUAACACUGAGUUAGGGUUUCUCUAGGGAUCCAAUCUAUGGAAUCUUAGUGAUACAAUUGACUUGGGAUAUGCAUCUCCUGGACCAGAGUCUUGUGGAACCCUAAGUCUUGUAUUAUGGUCUUUGGUUACUAUAGAUUGCGUCAUGACAUUGAUAUUUGGAAGCUAUUCUCAGGUUUGAUUUUGGUCAAGCAAAGGUCAACUUUAGGGUUACCUUUUUGUUGACGAUUCUUUAUGAAAGUCAUACAUGGCUAGUUUGUUUGAUUGUUCAUUUUAUUCAAGGCUUUUCAAGUCAAAUAAAUCAAAAUGGAUUCAUUCAAAUUCAAGGUUCAUUCAAGAUUAAAUUCGGAUUCAUCUUUGGAAGGAAACCUCUUUCUUAAAGCACAAGUUACAUAAAUCUAUUCAAAAGGCCAUUUCCAUAAGAAAUCCAAAAUAAAAAAUCACAUGUUUUGACCUAGGGUUGACUUUUUGGUCAAAUAGUUGACCAAAGUCAACUACCUAAACCUAAGACAUAAUUCCACUUAUUCUUCAUUCACAAAGCCUCCAAGUCUUCAAAGCCCUCAAAUUCUUCACAAUUUUUGAUAUGACUCACACCUUGAAUCCAUGCCAUGCCUUGAUCAAGCCUUGCCACCACCGUGCCAAGUCACCCUAGUUACCUGCAACAAGCAAAACAUAAACAUGAUGCCACAAUUCAAUAAGUCAUGCCAUGCAUAUUGUCGCCAUUCAAAUCAUAACACAAACCAUAUAAAAGCCAAGAAACAAGUCAAUCCAAUUACCAUAUGACUCAAUCACCAAUAACAUAACUAAUUCAUACAUUUCACCAUGCAACCUACUGCAUUUCCAAGUUCACUAAUUUGACAUUCCAUGUCCUCCAAACAUGCUAUAACAGGCCAUUAACUUCUCCAUUUUCACUAACCAUCAUUAACAUACCAAGCUAAUAUGACUAAAACCUCAUAACAGACUUCUUUUCCAAAAUUGUUAUGACUUUUCUAACAUAUCUCAAUCCAACUAAUUCAGUCAUAAUAUUACCUACUAUACAAAUUGCCAAUUUCAAAUCACUGACACUUGAUUAACUUCUUCACUAGCAGUUCCAAUUAACUCCACUAAUCAACUUAAGUAACUACACUAACUAAUUUUAACAUUAGUUCAACUUCAAUUCAAUAACAUUUCAUCUUAACAUUUACUAAGAGUCAACUAAACAUCAACUACAGUUCCAAUACACUAAUCAAAUCAUUUCAUUAACAAUAGUUCUAAUAAUUCCAACAGCUAACUCUCAUUUCACUAAUGUCUAAAUCCAAAAUAAUUCAUAGUUCACCAAAUAGUUGCAAGGCAGUUCAUUGACACAUUUCAAUAGGACACUUUUAAAUAAAAGAAAAAUAAGCUAACACUAACCAAUUACUCCAUUCACUAACAUUUUCCAAUUCAAUUCCAUAACCGUAAGAACUAGAUAUGCUAACAGUCCAGUUUCAUUGAAAUGCAAAUGUCACGAAAUUCUAACUUCAUAACCGACCUCCAAUUCAAACAAAUAACACUUCCAAUAGUGAAACUAACAUAGUUACAAACUCAUAAUUCACUAACUUUCUUCUUAACUUCCAACUAACUCUAACUGUCAACAUUACUCAUAACUAACUAUAGCUUCAACAUUCUAACAAUUCAACUAACACUUCAAUUCCAACUAUCAUUAACAUAAGGUUAAUAGAGUCAGAAUUCCUAACAAACUUUCCUCUUGAUAUUACCUAACGAUAACAGUGCCCUAACCCUCUAACAACCAUUGCCUCAAGCCUGCCGGAAAUUGUUACACCAUCUCUCUCUCUAUCUAUCUAUUUAUCUAUUUAUCUAUCUAUCUAUGAAUUGAAAAUAAGUGGAACCAAUAUAGGUGAUGGAUAAACCUUGGCCAUUUCCAAGCAUUACUUGAUCUGAGCCAAAAGUUGAGAUGCUGUCUAAGAAGUUCUCCGCAUUGUUUGUGACAUGGUGUGUGGCACCAGAAUCACAAUACCAUUUAUAAGAAGUGAUAAGGUUGUCGGUGGACUCGAUGCCAACAAGAUAAACUUGAGGUUGCUUUUGUGAGAAUAAGGAACAUGUAGGGGGUAUCAAGCCUAGUAUGGAAUCCAGUGGGAAGAACACGACAAGUCAGGAUUUAUGAGGCGACAAUGUAACUUGAGAAUGUAGAUCAUGCCUUCGACUUACUGCUUCAAGGACAUGAAGUAGAAUCUUCAAGCUUGAUAGUGAUUUGUUGCACGAAAGUCUUGAGUUCUUUGUUAAUAGUCCCACAUCGGACAUUAUAUGGCCUGAGCAUGUGUUUAUAAGUGGGGGCAGUCCUCACUCAACCAAUCGGUUUUGUAGGGUUGAGUUAGGCUCGAUCACACAUUCUUAACAUGGUAUCGAAGCCUCGUUUAAGAUCCGGUGGGUCACCUACUAUGGUUUCCGCUAUCGGGCCACCCACCAUUUAUUUCCACGCUCCAGAUGUCCAGUCCUGGGCGUGAGGGGGUGUGUCCUCAUUCUACCAACAUAUGCGUGAGGACAAUAUAUGGCCUGAGCAUGUCCUCAUUCUACCAACAUAUGCGUGAGGACAAUAUAUGGCCUGAGCAUGUCCUCAUUCUACCAACAUAUGCAGAGAAGAUGAACAAUUAUAUAAUAUAAUAAAAUAUUAAUCCUAUUAUUUUUAAUUAAAUUAAUAGUAAAAAAAUUUAAAAACGAACAAAUAAAUAUAAAAACUAAUAAGAUAAAUCUAUUGUUUUAUUUAAAAUUAUAUAAAAGCAAAUUAAAACAAAAUGUAAAUGUAAAGUUAUAUAUCUUCAAAUAUAUUUGGUAUGUGUGGGGGCAGAACAUAUCCUUAAAGUGUUUUAUGAAGACUUUGUUUUCCGUCUAAUCGGGGAAAGUCUCCAUUUUUGGGAUCUAAAUUGGAUUUUUUUUACUGUCUUACCCCACUUUUGAAAAUUUAUUCUCGAUCUAUUCCAUUCUAAAAAAAAAUCUCAGAAUAUCCUGUUUUUAGAGUGUACUCACCGAAUGAAUGGAUGGAUUCAUGAAGGCAAUUUUCGAAAAAAAAGGGACUCGGUCAAUGGUUAGACGAGGCAUUGAAAGACUUUUUUAUAGUGUUAGGACUUAGUCAAUAGAUGAACGAAUUGUCGGAUGAUAUAUUUAAAAAAAAAAUCAAGGAGAGUUUCUUUAAGGUCUUUCAAUGUCUUGUCCAACCAUUGACCGAGUGCAUUCAUUCGUAAAAAUGCCUUCAUGAACUCGUCCAAUGAUUGAACGGGUACACUCUAAAAAUAGGGCAUUCUGAAUUUUUUUUCUUUUCAGAAUGAGAUAAAUCAAAAAUAAAUUUUCAGAAAUAGGACAAAGCAUUUAAAAUGUCUCCAAAUUAGCAAUAUCUACAAGACAUCCAUACUAUCAAAAUGCAAAUUGAUAUUAUAUAUAUAUAUAUAUAUAUAUAUAUAUAUAUAUAAUAUGCUCUAAGUGGCACUCCACCUGUAACCUUUAAAAUUCCAAAAAAUAUUUUACGGAAAAAUGUUAAACCAAAGAGGAAGGGAGUGCAUAAAAAAGGAUGUGUAUAGAAAAUCCAAAGUUACAAAAUGCAAGCGGGCUGGGCUAUGUAUUGGGCUUAUUUUAUUUUCUUACAUGGAAAGCCCAUCCACGAAACCCUAAUUCCCAAAACAUUAAAACACAGCGAAUUGCUUCAAAACUUCAUUUUCACGGCGCACAACUUCAUCUUCCAGAUCCGAUCCACGCGCCGCCACCAUGGUAAACCUUCUCCACCGCUCUUAACUCCUAACUCCGUCGCUUUUCUCCUCCAUAACCUUACAAUGUUUAACCUUAUGCUUGUUGUUAAUCUGUAGGUUAACGUUCCGAAGACCAAGAAGACCUACUGCAAGAACAAGGAAUGCAAGAAGCACACACUCCACAAAGUUACCCAAUACAAGAAGGGUAAGGACAGUAUCGCCGCUCAAGGGAAACGUCGUUACGAUCGGAAACAGUCCGGUUAUGGUGGUCAGACUAAGCCUGUCUUCCACAAGAAGGUAACAAUCACACCAUCACCUCUUUUUAGUUUUAUUUGUAUCACUUUUGUGAAUUUGAUUUAUUUUAGUUGAUUACAAGUAAAAAUAUUUGAUUUUUUUUUGUUUUGUGUUUUGAAUUUAUUAUAGGCUAAAACCACUAAGAAAAUUGUUCUGAGGUUGCAAUGCCAGGGAUGCAAACAUGUCUCUCAACAUGCCAUCAAGGUUAGUUUGUUUAGUUUAAGGAGAUAAAGAACAGGGGCUUUAAUCUUAUUUUGUCGUUUGAUAUGGUUGUUUGUAGUUAUUGGUGGUUAUUUAUGUGGCUCUGUUUAUUGUUAUGCAGAGGUGCAAGCAUUUUGAGAUUGGUGGAGACAAGAAAGGAAAAGGAACAUCACUCUUCUAGAUGGAGAAUUAGGAUUUGCUGUUUUAUUGUUAUAUUUCCUAUGUUGGAAUAUGUUUUGUUGGAUUAUUGAUUUCUGAUAGAUAUAUUUUGUUAUUUGAAAUACUUAUUGUUAUUGACUAGUGAAAGCUAUUGCUAUUAUCAAGUUAUCUAUCGAUCUGUUGUUGUUUUCUCAUUCUUGAUAUGCUUUAAUGAUUUUAUACAUCUUU